RNAcentral lists this ribosomal RNA (262 nucleotides) under uncultured bacterium. Its description in RNAcentral is "partial 16S ribosomal RNA". It matches the Rfam family "Bacterial small subunit ribosomal RNA", at positions 793 to 1055 of the family's 1533-position model. The record is from RNAcentral.
GUCCUGGCCCUAAACGAUGAAUGCUUGGUGUGGCGGGUAUCGAUCCCUGCCGUGCCGAAGCUAACGCAUUAAGCAUUCCGCCUGGGGAGUAUGGUCGCAAGGCUGAAACUCAAAGGAAUUGACGGGGGCCCGCACAAGCGGUGGAGCAUGUGGUUCAAUUCGACGCAACGCGAAGAACCUUACCCAGGCUUGAACAGCGAGUGACCAUCGAUGAAAGUCGACUUCCGCAAGGACACUCGUAGAGGUGCUGCAUGGCUGUCGU